GCAGCGCGGGCACGUCGGGUGGCGACCAGCCCACGUUCCAGGAGGAGGGGCAGGACGACGACCUCUACAGCUAAGCUACCGGCUGCUGCCCCGGGUCACUGCACGAGAUUCCGACCUAUUUCGGACUACGACUACGGUACCCGGGGCCUCUCAACACACACGCGCGGGGCGCGUCCUACACGUAUCUCCAGCAGCCGGCACACACACACACAAACACAGAGAGACCAGAGGCCGGCUCCGCCCGCGCGCCAGUUCUAGGACUGACUUAUACUUAAGAUUAUUAAGAUUAUCGGUGAACCACAUCCGGACGGGUGUAGCGGGUCCCGGGUUGCGGAAAUGUCUAUAAUGUCUAUAUUAAAUUCCAAUAUGUAUUCCCGACCGGGUAUAAGUGUAUUUAUUUUGUCGAUCGAUUGAUAGCAUUUCUUUGUGUUCGGAUUCGCUUGUGUUUAGUUGUAAUUUGAAUAAUGUAGGCUCGCGGAGCCGUUAAGAUCAUAAUGAUAUAGUAUAAUUGUUAACUGUAUGGCAGAUCCUGUGCGUAGGCGACUAUUACACAAUAUCGCAGUGAUUUUUUAAUAAAAGAUUUUUAUAGACCAAUAA
Molecule: long non-coding RNA, 597 nt
Organism: Cydia fagiglandana
Lineage: Eukaryota; Metazoa; Arthropoda; Insecta; Lepidoptera; Tortricidae
Exons: 2
Source: RefSeq, a predicted model, not a curated record